AAUAUCUCUUCUUCUAUAAAUAAAAUCAAUGACCAAAAAGAACAGAGAGAGAAGCAACCAUGGGCGGUGGUGAUAGAGAAUCGUUUACUAUUACUACUACUUCAGAGGAUUCGUCUUCUUCAUCAGACGAGAGCAGCCAAACACAGAGCAAGAAGGUGAAGGUGGAGAAGCGUCAAGAAGCAAGUAUCAUGGGCGGUGAGAAAGAAAGAUCAGAGGAUUCCACCUCAGAAGCCCCAUCGUCAUCCU
Molecule: non-coding RNA, 246 nt
Organism: Nelumbo nucifera (sacred lotus)
Lineage: Eukaryota; Viridiplantae; Streptophyta; Magnoliopsida; Proteales; Nelumbonaceae
Source: RefSeq, a predicted model, not a curated record